UGCCGCGUGAGUGAUGAAGGCCUUCGGGUUGUAAAGCUCUUUUGUCAGGGAAGAAAAUGGUCAGGCUAAUACCUGAGGCUCGUGACGGUACCUGAAAAAUAAGCACCGGGUAACUACGGGCCACCCGCCCCGGUAAU
This 137-nucleotide ribosomal RNA is filed under the name uncultured bacterium. RNAcentral's name for it is "partial 16S ribosomal RNA". It matches the Rfam family "Bacterial small subunit ribosomal RNA", at positions 395 to 524 of the family's 1533-position model. The record is from RNAcentral.